This 1294-nucleotide ribosomal RNA is filed under the name metagenome. Its description in RNAcentral is "bacterial LSU rRNA". It matches the Rfam family "Bacterial large subunit ribosomal RNA", at positions 1590 to 2910 of the family's 2925-position model. The record is from RNAcentral.
UCGAAUGUAAACAGACUUCCAAGAAAAUCCGCUAAGCAUAUUUUGCAGCUGCCCGUACCGCAAACCGACACAGGUAGUCGAGAAGAAUAUUCUAAGGUGCUCGAGAGAUUCAUGGCUAAGGAACUCGGCAAAAUAAACCUGUAACUUCGGGAGAAGGGUUGCCUCCUCUAGCAAUAGAGAGGUCGCAGAGAAAUGGCCCAGGCGACUGUUUAACAAAAACACAUGGCUAUGCGAAAUCGCAAGAUGAAGUAUAUGGCCUGACACCUGCCCGGUGCUGGAAGGUUAAGGGGGGAAGUUAGCAGCAAUGCGACGCUUUGAACUGAAGCCCCAGUAAACGGCGGCCGUAACUAUAACGGUCCUAAGGUAGCGAAAUUCCUUGUCGGGUAAGUUCCGACCUGCACGAAUGGUGUAACGAUCUGGGCGCUUCUCAGCCAUGAGCUCGGUGAAAUUGUAGUAACGGUGAAGAUGCCGUUUACCCGUCACGGGACGGAAAGACCCCAUGAACCUUUACUAUAGCUUCACAUUGAUAUUGGGAAGAUGAUGUGUAGGAUAGGCGGGAGGCAAUGAUCUGGUGGCGCUAGCUAUCAGGGAGUCAACGGUGAAAUACCGCCCUUUAUUUUUCCGAUAUCUAACCACCGCAAGGUGGGACAUUGUGUGGUGGGUAGUUUGACUGGGGUGGUCGCCUCCGAAAGUGUAUCGGAGGCUUUCAAAGGUAUGCUCAGUACGCUUGGUAACCGUACGUGGAGUGCAUUAGCAUAAGCAUGCUUGACUGUGAGACAGACAAGUCGAUCAGGCGCGAAAGCGGGAUAAAGUGAUCCGGUGGUUCUGCAUGGAAGGGCCAUCGCUCAAAGGAUAAAAGGUACUCUGGGAUAACAGGCUGAUCUCCCCCAAGAGCUCAUAUCGACGGGGAGGUUUGGCGCCUCGAUGUCGGCUCGUCACAUCCUGGGGCUGGAGAAGGUCCCAAGGGUUGGGCUGUUCGCCCAUUAAAGUGGCACGCGAGCUGGGUUCAGAACGUCGUGAGACAGUUCGGUCCCUAUCUGUGAUGGGCGCAGGAAGUUUGAGAGGCUCUGUCCUUAGUACGAGAGGACCGGGUUGGAGCAACCGCUGGUGUACCGGUUGUCAUGUCAGUGGCACUGCCGGGUAGCUAUGUUGCGACGGAAUAAGCGCUGAAAGCAUCUAAGCGCGAAAUCCACCUCGAGAUGAGACUUCCUUAUAAGGGCCGUCGUAGACUACGACGUUGAUAGGCUGCAGGUGUAAAGUCAGAAAUGGCAAAGCCGAGCAGUACUAAUUACCU